Molecule: ribosomal RNA, 371 nt
Filed under: uncultured bacterium
Lineage: Bacteria
Description: bacterial SSU rRNA
Rfam family: Bacterial small subunit ribosomal RNA
Source: RNAcentral
GACGAACGCUGGCGGCGUGCUUAACACAUGCAAGUCGAGCGGUAAGGCCCUUUCGGGGGUACACGAGCGGCGAACGGGUGAGUAACACGUGGGUGACCUGCCCUCAGCUCUGGGAUAAGCCUGGGAAACCGGGUCUAAUACCGGAUAUGACUCCAUGACGCAUGUUGUGGGGUGGAAAGCCUUGUGCGGCUGAGGAUGGGCCCGCGGCCUAUCAGCUUGUUGGUGGGGUGAUGGGCCUACCAAGGCGACGACGGGUAGCCGGCCUGAGAGGGCGACCGGCCACACUGGGACUGAGACACGGCCCAGACUCCUACGGGAGGCAGCAGUGGGGAAUCUUGCGCAAGUGGCGAAAGCCUGACGCAGCGACGCCG